CCUACGGGGGGCAGCAGUAGGGAAUUUUGCGCAAUGGGCGAAAGCCUGACGCAGCAACGCCGCGUGAUCGAGACGCCCUUCGGGGUGUAAAGAUCUGUCAGUGGGGACGAAACUUGACGGUACUCACAGAGGAAGCACCGGCUAACUCCGUGCCAGCAGCCGCGGUAAUACGGGGGGUGCAAGCGUUGUCCGGAAGUAGUGGGCGUAAAGAGUUCGUAGGCGGCACGGAAAGUCUGGUGUUAAAGGCAGAGGCUCAACUUCUGUACGGCACUGGAUACUUGCGAGCUAGAAUGCUGUAGAGGUAAAGGGAAGUCCUGGUGUAGCGGUGAAAUGCUUAGAUAUUAGGAGGAACAUCAGUGGCGAAGGCGGUUUACUGGGCCGUAAUUGACGCUGAGGAACGAAAGCCAGGGUAGCAAAUGGGAUUAGAUACCCGAGUAGUC
Molecule: ribosomal RNA, 440 nt
Filed under: uncultured bacterium
Lineage: Bacteria
Description: partial 16S ribosomal RNA
Rfam family: Bacterial small subunit ribosomal RNA
Source: RNAcentral